RNAcentral lists this ribosomal RNA (230 nucleotides) under uncultured Acanthamoeba. RNAcentral describes it as "partial 18S ribosomal RNA". It matches the Rfam family "Eukaryotic small subunit ribosomal RNA", at positions 97 to 279 of the family's 1831-position model. The record is from RNAcentral. Lineage: Eukaryota; Discosea; Longamoebia; Acanthamoebidae.
CUCAUUAAAUCAGUUAUAGUUUAUUUGAUGGUCUCUUUGUUCUUCUUUUUACCUACUUGGAUAACCGUGGUAAUUCUAGAGCUAAUACAUGCGCAAGGUCCCGAGCGCGGAGAGUGGGGCUUCACGGCUCUAUUCUUGCAUGCGUAGAGGGAUGUAUUUUAUUAGGUUAAACAACCAGCAUUUUUCAAUCAUCUGGUGAUUCAUAGUAACUCUUUCGGAUCGCAUUCAUG